Molecule: non-coding RNA, 90 nt
Organism: Vibrio mytili
Lineage: Bacteria; Pseudomonadati; Pseudomonadota; Gammaproteobacteria; Vibrionales; Vibrionaceae
Source: Rfam
UCACGCACAGGGCAAACCAUUUGAAAGAAUGGGACGCAAAGCUUCCGGCCUGAACCCUAUUUUUUAGUGGAAGGUAGCGGGGUUGCCGAU